AGCGAACGCUGGCGGCAGGCCUAACACAUGCAAGUCGAACGAACCUUUCGGGGUUAGUGGCGGACGGGUGAGUAACACGUGGGAACGUGCCUUUAGGUUCGGAAUAACUCAGGGAAACUUGUGCUAAUACCGAAUGUGCCCUUCGGGGGAAAGAUUAAUCGCCUUUAGAGCGGCCCGCGUCUGAUUAGCUAGUUGGUUGAGGUAAUGGCUCACCAAGGCGACGAUCAGUAGCUGGUCUGAGAGGAUGAUCAGCCACAUUGGGACUGAGACACGGCCCAAACUCCUACGGGAGGCAGCAGUGGGGAAUCUUGCGCAAUGGGCGAAAGCCUGACGCAGCCAUGUCGCGUGAAUGAUGAAGGUCUUAGGAUUGUAAAAUUCUUUCACCGGGGACGAUAAUGACGGUACCCGGAGAAGAAGCCCCGGCUAACUUCGUG
This 434-nucleotide ribosomal RNA is filed under the name uncultured bacterium. RNAcentral's name for it is "partial 16S ribosomal RNA". It matches the Rfam family "Bacterial small subunit ribosomal RNA", at positions 29 to 507 of the family's 1533-position model. The record is from RNAcentral.